Molecule: non-coding RNA, 21 nt
Organism: Caenorhabditis elegans
Lineage: Eukaryota; Metazoa; Nematoda; Chromadorea; Rhabditida; Rhabditidae
Source: Ensembl
UUAAUAAUGGACGCAGUUUUC